This 351-nucleotide ribosomal RNA is filed under the name Clostridioides difficile. RNAcentral's name for it is "bacterial LSU rRNA". It matches the Rfam family "Bacterial large subunit ribosomal RNA", at positions 1 to 352 of the family's 2925-position model. The record is from RNAcentral. Lineage: Bacteria; Bacillati; Bacillota; Clostridia; Peptostreptococcales; Peptostreptococcaceae.
UGGUCAAGUUAUUAAGGGUGCAGGGCGGAUGCCUUGGCACUAGGAGCCGAUGAAGGACGUGAUAAGCUGCGAUAAGCUUCGGGGAGUUGCACGUAAACUUUGAUCCGAAGAUUUCCGAAUGAGGAAACUCACUUAGAGUAAUGUCUAAGUAUCAUUAAGUGAAUACAUAGCUUAAUGAGGGGAACUCAGGGAACUGAAACAUCUAAGUACCUGAAGGAAGAGAAAGAAAUUCGAUUCCGUAAGUAGCGGCGAGCGAACGCGGAUUAGCCCAAACCAAUAAAGUUUUCUUUAUUGGGGUUGCGGACAUAUCAUAACGAAGAGGUAUCGUAAUUGAAGAGGUUUGGAAAGACC